This 200-nucleotide ribosomal RNA is filed under the name uncultured bacterium. Its description in RNAcentral is "partial 16S ribosomal RNA". It matches the Rfam family "Bacterial small subunit ribosomal RNA", at positions 28 to 229 of the family's 1533-position model. The record is from RNAcentral.
GAUGAACGCUAGCGGCAGGCUUAACACAUGCAAGUCGAGGGGUAGAAGGAGCUUGCUCCUUUGAGACCGGCGCACGGGUGCGUAACGCGUAUGCAACCUACCUUUUACAGGGGGAUAGCCCAGAGAAAUUUGGAUUAAUACCCCAUGGUAUAAUUGAAUGGCAUCAUUUAAUUAUUAAAGUUCCAACGGUAAAAGAUGGG